GCUCGUAGUUGGAUUUCGGGUGGGUUUCAGCGGUCCGCCUAUGGUGAGUACUGCUGUGGCCUUCCUUACUGUCGGGGACCUGCUUCUGGGCUUCAUUGUCCGGGACAGGGAUUCGGCAUGGUUACUUUGAGUAAAUUGGAGUGUUCAAAGCAGGCUUACGCCGUGAACAUUUUAGCAUGGAAUAACAUGAUAGGACUCUGCCCUAUUCUGUUGGCCUGUAGGAGUGGAGUAAUGAUUAAGAGGAACAGUCGGGGGCAUUCGUAUUUCAUUGUCAGAGGUGAAAUUCUUGGAUUUAUGAAAGACGAACUACUGCGAAAGCAUUUGCCAAGGAUGUUUUCAUUAAUCAAGAACGAAAGUUGGGGGCUCGAAGACGAUUAGAUACCGUCGUAGUCUCAACCAUAAACGAUGCCGACUAGGGAUUGGCGGACGUUUUUGCAUGACUCCGUCAGC
RNAcentral lists this ribosomal RNA (450 nucleotides) under Desmodesmus sp. UQL1_19. Its description in RNAcentral is "SSU rRNA". It matches the Rfam family "Eukaryotic small subunit ribosomal RNA", at positions 626 to 1084 of the family's 1831-position model. The record is from RNAcentral. Lineage: Eukaryota; Viridiplantae; Chlorophyta; Chlorophyceae; Sphaeropleales; Scenedesmaceae.